RNAcentral lists this transfer RNA (72 nucleotides) under Ovis aries (sheep). It matches the Rfam family "tRNA". Rfam says of the family: Transfer RNA (tRNA) molecules are approximately 80 nucleotides in length. Their secondary structure includes four short double-helical elements and three loops (D, anti-codon, and T loops). The record is from Rfam by way of RNAcentral. Lineage: Eukaryota; Metazoa; Chordata; Mammalia; Artiodactyla; Bovidae.
UCCUUAAUAGCUCAGUUGGUAAAGAGUCCACCUGCAAUGCAGAAGACCCGGGUUCGAUUCCUGGCUCAGGAA